This 373-nucleotide long non-coding RNA is filed under the name Brassica napus (rape). RNAcentral describes it as "long non-coding RNA (BNAP_LNC026529)". The record is from RNAcentral. Lineage: Eukaryota; Viridiplantae; Streptophyta; Magnoliopsida; Brassicales; Brassicaceae.
AAAAUUAAUCAUGAGACACGUAAACAUAACAAUAACAACAUAAAUAAAAUAAAAGAUGGAAGAAAAAUAUGGUCACACGUAAGAGGAUGUGGCACUAUUGUCCCAAUUUAACCAAAUAUGCUAGAUUCCUUUAUUCAAAAUUUUGUUACAAACAAAAAUUUAUAAAAUUAGUAUGGGGCACGUGCCCCACCUUCUAUGUAAGUAGAUCCGCCCCUACAAAGCUCCUUUGGAUUUUCUGUGGGUGGGUAGAUGUUCUCAAGAUAGGUUUGGUGUAUUAACCAUUAAAGGAGAGAAACAUGUCUUUUUAUCCAAUUUGGUGGAUGAGUUCUCCUUUUUCCGAGAUAGCUUUGGUGUUUCCUUAUUUUAUUUUGUU